RNAcentral lists this ribosomal RNA (218 nucleotides) under uncultured prokaryote. Its description in RNAcentral is "partial 16S ribosomal RNA". The stretch from base 43 to 218 matches the Rfam family "Bacterial small subunit ribosomal RNA", at positions 567 to 742 of the family's 1533-position model. The record is from RNAcentral.
UCCUUUUUUUCUCUCUUUUUCCUUCCUCCCUUUGCGUCCCUGGCGCGUCGGUGGUUUGAUAAGGGUGUGGUGAAAGCCCGGGGCUCAACCCCGGGUCGGCCGUGCCGACUGUUGAACUCGAGGGCUGUAGAGGCAGACGGAAUUCCGGGUGUAGCGGUGGAAUGCGUAGAGAUCCGGAGGAAGACCGGUGGCGAAGGCGGUCUACUGGGCAGUUUCUG